GGGAACUCCUCCUCGGCUGAAAGCCUCUUCCGCUCAGGCUGAGGCUUAUCCUCUGGAUCUUUGGAGAAACUAAACAGAGAGACAGUCUCUUCUCCAUCUCUACCAGCACCUUGACCCCGUCAAUCACCAUCUGGAGCAGCUCCACCUCCGAGAAGCCCAGUCUGUCAGCAUUGGAGAUGUCAAAGAUGCCAUCCACGGCACCGGUGUCCACGCCGCCUGACAAGACAAGUGUCUUACUUAUUAAUUAGUUCAAGUGCUUUGUGGUGUGUUUCUACCACUUUCACCAAAUAUCGAGAAAAAAACACACACGUACCAGUUCCACGUUUCUGGAGCCUCAGCCGCCUAAGAAUUUCCUCAAAAUCAGGGUGUUGGCUCAAGUUUGGAAUUUUGACAUGUACACCGGCACGCAGACCAGUGCCCAGAUUGGACGGGCAGGUCAGAAUGUAGCCCAGGUGCUCAUUCCACAUGUACUCCUCCCCUUUUUCUUUGAACAAGGAUUCCAUCUUUA
This is a long non-coding RNA of Syngnathus acus (greater pipefish), 508 nucleotides long. RefSeq lists it as uncharacterized. The record is from RefSeq and is a predicted model, not a curated record. Lineage: Eukaryota; Metazoa; Chordata; Actinopteri; Syngnathiformes; Syngnathidae. The transcript has 2 exons.